ACCGGACCAUUGAUGUCAGAAGCUCCCAUCCUAUCCCGCCGUCAAGAUCUAGUAGCUCAAACCCUUUACGGAGAUCAGGGCCUGCACGAGGCUCCACUAGUUUUCUCCACGCGGUUAAGUCGUAGUCGCAUCUUUUCAGCUGGCGGUUGAACUGAAUGAGGUUGCUGUCAGACCGUAAGGAUGGGAAUGCCUAGGGAACGGUACAAGCAUGGUCAGAACAUUAACUUAGUACGAUUGAAUCGUUUCCCAACACAAGGAAGAUGAUAAGAACAAAACGAAAGAACAAUCCAAACAACAGAACCAAAAGUAAUAAAGGUCAAUGAAUUCUAGAGUAUCCCCUACAUUCCAAAGGCCCAACCAACAACACAAUAAACAUCUCUAAAAACCUGAAGAACAGUAUCUCCUAUUUACUUCAAUCCUAGAUAUCAUGCAAGAGUCAAAAACUCAGAAAAAAAAACUAGAAGCGAUUGGUGGAUUGUUACUUACCAUUUGAAGGAAGAUGAGGCCGAUGCUAUAGAUAUCAAACCUAUCAGGCGGUUUUAUUAACAAAAAGUAGGUAUAAAAUUUGGUGAUACGAUUAUUAGAAGGCAUGCAUAUAGUGUGUGUGUGCGCGCGCGCGCGCAAUCUAACUGCUUUUGUUAUUGUUCUGUUUACUCACUGCUCCUUGUCGUGCGCUUUAAAAAAAAAAAGAAUAGACGUCUCUUCGAUGUGGCCGACAACAAUAGUGUUUUCGUUUCACAAAAUUGUUAAGGCCACUUUUUUAUAUGUGCGCUGUGAAUCUCUCUACCUUGUUUAUAUAUAUCAGAAAACUUAAAGUUUCUAUGGUAUCAAAUCAUAUCAUUUCAUUUAUAAAGAAAAUGUAAUACAAAAUUCAAAGUCGCAAUGUUAUUCUGUUUCAUAAUCGAUAUUCUUUCCGUUCCAAAAUAGAUGAUGUUUUAAAAAGUUUUUAAUGUUUUAAAAUAUAUGAUGAUUUUGAUAUUUUAUAUUAAUUUUAAUUUUAUUGAAAAUUUUGUGACCAGUAAAUGUUAUAUAAUUUUUUUGAUGAUUGAUUAGAUUAGUUUUAAUUUUUAUUUUAAAUAAUAUUUUUAGAAAUAAAUGUGUGCUUCAAAACAUCAACUAUUUUAGAACAUAGAUAAAAAAAAAAUCUUUUCUUGAUAAACAUGAACAACAACAGACAUCAGAAUCCCUUGGAACUUUAUCUGACGAGAGAAUAAAAUCAGUGUGUGUUCCCUCUGUGUUUUUGGGUCUCAAAAUCCUCUUGUAUAUUCAAUCUUUUCCCACUAGGUGUCGAUCAAUAAUAAUGUGCGUGACAUAUAAGGGGGCAAUUGCCAACUAUUCUUAAUUCUAAACGGCCCAACGGCUUUCACAACUUAAAAUAUUACUACUAAACGGCCUUCGCAACUUGCUUAAUUCUUUAGUCGACUAUACAUUACUACAAUGGGUUACCAAUGAUUAUAAAUUAAAUCCCCAAUCUCCUAAAUCUUUAUGCCAGAUAGGUGUAUAUAACUAAAGUUUGUUUGAGUUGCUAGGCUACAAAAUAAUUAUAAUAAGCAGUUUAGGCAUCGAAAUUAAACGUAUUUUGUGUUGUUAGUGUAAGUGCAGGUAGAUGAUCCUAAGCGAUCAUUGAUCAAUUUACCGAUAAAUUGUUUCAUUGGUUCAUGUAUACUUUUUAUAGAUGAAAUUUUAAUUUCCACGCAAAUUAAAUCAAUUUUAUUUAUAAUUCUAAUUUAAUCAAAAUUGAACUUAUCAAACUUGAUUUAAUUUUGGAUAAAUUACUUUUGAAUCUGAUUCUUCAUGAAAUGUUUUCUUCUAUUUCCUUCGUUGAUAUUACUUCUUAAUUAUCUCCUCUAUGAUAAAACUGUCUUUGUCUUUCUACGUACUUUUACAAAAAAAAAUUUGCUUCCCACUUUUAAAAACUUUUGACGUUCAUGUCAUGCCAUUGAACUAUUUUAACUUAAAGUUUAAUUUGGGUUUCCAAUUAUAAAAUAUUUAAAUAAUAUACUAUUUACCUCUGUAAACACUUGAACCACAUAAAAAUUAAAAGAAUUAAGGACUAAACCACAAUCAUUUCUUAUGUACUGAAAUUUCUAUUUUUUAGACCUGAGAUCAGAACAACACAGAACAUAUAAUUUUCUAAAUGUCGUUUGAGUCUAAUUUUUUAGGUUUUGUCUUUGAUAUCGUCAAACUAAUAACAUUUGAUAUAUAUUUAUAUAUAUUACGUGCAAGUAGUUACUUUGCUCAGCUAUAAUUUAUGUGUAAAUGGUGAAGAAAAUAUGAUGGAUCAUGCAGCCUGUUUCUUUCAUUUCUUCUUUAAGUAUUUUGAGAAAAAUAAUAAUAAAGUAGUUGGUUCACCUGCAGUUGUAUAUAUUUUCUUUUUUGGUAAAAUUGUAUAUAUUUUCUUGGUCGUUUAACUGCAAAUAAUAAUGAAAUUCUAACCGUAGAAGUACAAUUGUACCUUUAUCAAUUUUUUUGGUGUGGCCUUAAGGUAUAUAAUGUAACAACCAGAUCUCAGAAAAUAAACUUAAUCAACCAGAAAGAAGAAAACAGCAACAAAAGACAAUGAAAUUAGCUACUAAUUUACAUCCGAAAAACCCUUCUUUGGGAUGAAAAAAACUACAGAAAUACAUGCAUAGCUCCGUAUAGAAAGCCAACACAUAUAAGCUUCUUCCCAAGAGUUAUAUAAGGAAGAUCCGCAACAACAAAAACAAAAAACAAAAGAACUAAAUAUAUUGGGUUAGUCUUCCUUAAGCCGAUUAUGAAAAUGAUUUUGAUUUUCUUCUUCUUUUGUUAGUCAUGCCAACAAAGAAGCAUGACGACACACCUCCUUAUGAUGUAAAGUUUAGCCUUUUGCUCUCUAACCACUCCUCCCACUCCUCGGCUCCACAUCUUCCUCUUCGUUCCUCCUACGCUCGAACUGGUCGUCUUCAUUUUCGCUUGAUCCUUUGGAAGUGAAAUGUGACAGAGAAAGAGAGAACAAUUAGGGUGUCUGUGUGGAUGAUAAUGAGGAAUGUGAUGACUGAUGAAUGAAGAAGAGUAUUGUGCUCUAUAUAUACAAGUGGGGAAAAGGUGGCCGAGGACAGAAACCGAACCAUACCGAACUAGACCGGUCCACAAAAGAGGCAACGAGUGGGUCCAUCGGGGGUUUGUGCACUGUUCCCUAACUCACCGGACAGUGUGUCCCUCCAUACCCACGUGGACCCCCACCGUGAGCGAAUCUUUGCCCUAAAUGUGUUUAUUUAUUAUCUUAUCACAUGCUCUAUCUUCAUGAAAACUUUACCCAAACCCCCAAAUUAUAAAACAAAUGAAAACCAUACCGAUGAAUAAAGUGAGCCUAUAUUUUCCUUUAUCAUAUUUCGGUUUAAUCUGACAAAAAUCCUAAGUGCAAUGUAUCAGUUGUUUUCAGAACCGAAUUCGACGUCAGAAAAUAUUGUCACCAACCAAAACUGUUGGGACUAAAUAAUAGUCUAAUACUAGCCAUCCAAAAUCGACACCUACUUGGUCCCCGGACGUUACUAAUAGUCUAACACUAGUCUAAUAAUUGUGAUAAUGAAAACUAACAUUUAAUUCUUUGAUUGGAAGCUCUCUCAUCAAUUUUGUGACCUGAUGAUAUUUCCAUAUCGACAAAUUCUAGUUAAUAAGUAAUAUAUUCCAAAAUCUUGAAGGCACAUGCAUGAAGAAAUUCAAAGCAUCGGAUUUUUGUUUAUCUAUAAUUUUCCGAUUUGAGUCAGAUUUAAAUUAUUAUAUACACAAUAUGAUAUGGAGACUAUACUAAAAUGCAUUGCGCCGAAAUUAGUGAGAGAAGUUAUUAAUUACCAAACUAUAACUAAUGAGGAGCAGUUAGGCGUUAAUUAGGUGGGAUAGUCUUAAAUUACAGAUUCUUCUUUAUAUAAUUCAGAUUCAAUCAAUCUUUUUAGCAAAAACCGACAACGGGUUGGUAUAAUUUCAAGAAGUAAUCAAACCCUAUUUUUUAAGUUACAUUAAUCGUUAACAUUAGAAAAUCACAUCUUACAGCUAUAUCACAGUUAAUAAUACAGCACUCCUCUAAGAGUAAAGUUAAUUAAUAUAAUUAGAUACACAAUUAACCAAGUAGAGUUUGGUGUUGUUUGAUGUGGUUUACGCGCUGUUGUCAUUGAUUAUGGUGAAGUCCUCCUCGAACAAGGAGAGUGGAACCGCACGUGAGGUUCUCGUGAUUCACAAAAUGCCUUCAGCUUUUGGUCGUCUAAAAGAACAAGUUUAUAACAAAUAAAAAUUACAUUCUUUUUUAAUCUAUAGCUUAUUAUGUGAUUAUGCGAGUUAGACUCUGUCAUUCUUAUUUCCUUUAAAUCUUGUCGUCCUUUUAUCAACAAACUUUUUCUUCACCCCUCGUGGUUAUAACCAGUUUUAAGUUUUAACAAUUUAUUACUCAGGUAUACUUAGUUAAUAUAAAAGUUACGUACGUGUGCUUUAUGUGCAAUGGAUAAACGUGAGAGAGAUCAUUCCCACAUUUUAGAUCCAGCGAAACAGCUACUUUUGUUUUCCUUUUAACCAAGAGCAUGUGGCCUAGUAAUUUGCUGGAGUUGAUAGAGUAGAUUCAUCAUGUGAGUCAAGACUCAGAAGCAGAUAUUGAGUUAAACCAUCUACGAGCGAAAUCGUUGUGCAUAUCUCUUAGCAAUUCUAAAUUUUGUUUGUUAAAUAUGUGAAUCUAUUAUGAAUUUUCAACUCAAAACCAAUUAAUACUGAAUGAUUUGACUUUAUUAUUUACAUAUUACAUAUUUUUAUUUUUUACUAUCAAUAUAAGAUUUUCUUUAUUUUAUUUCUUUGACAUCUCUACACGCUCAUGUACCAUCAUACAUAGACAAUUGUAAAAACGAUAUUCUAGAGUAUGAUCCAACUUAUAGUGAUUCUAAUAUCAUGUUAAAUUUAAUUUUGUCAGAAGCAAUUAAUAAAUAAUAAAUUGAUCUUUAAAUAUUAUAUAUGACUGUAUUAUUUCUUCAAUUAAUAAUGUGGAAUUUUCUUUCAUUUACUUCCAAGAUUAGUAAGAAUUUUCGACACAAUAUCUAUCUCAUUUAUCUGGUGAACAAAAAAAAAUCUAUCCCAUUAUCUAAAGAGAGAAUUACUUUUUCACAUUUUAACUAAUGAUUCCCUUAUAUGAUAGACGGAGGCAUGUGCUCUAUGUGAAGAGAGCUUGAGUGUGAGAAACGACUCCAGCUUCAACGGCGUACGGAAUUACUCUUUUGUCAAUUUUCAAAUAGACAAGCACUUACUUCGAUAGCCAGCAAAGGCUAAAUAUCUCUUGACCAGAGACUUCUCUGACUCUUCGUGCGGAGCUCAUGGUUUCUCAGGUCCAAAACCCGAAGGGGUAACGUGCUAUUCAAGAAACUUGCCUUUUCUUUUUUAAUUGGUUUCACAAAUUCCUAUGACAUCAACAAAAGUAUUCACAAGAGUACUCAAACUUCAGAAACAGAGUCAGAGACUGCCAUGUGUGUAGAUUUAGGUACAGUGCAUUUUUAUUUACGGUUAACUUGCUUUACAAGUAGUAGUAAUAGUUUACUAAAGGCUAAUAACAUAUACAUUGAGAUUUACACUAUUGGGAUGAAAAUGAAACAUUGAUAGACGAUACCGUAAGUGCUCACUCCUCCCUGGGGAUCCACCGGUUCCACCACACGGUCUUGCGGCCAUCGGCAAUCUCAUCAAUAGUCUCUGCAACUGUUUUCACAAGCUUCCUCUUAAGCCUAAGUGCUGAUGCGAGAGCGUUUCUCUGCGCACUUGCUUUCUUCCGAGGCUCUUUCUCCUAUAAUAAUCCAAAGAAUCCACAUUAGGCUUACUUAGGUCAUUUCACACGUUAUAACUCUCUCAGGUAUUAGCCACAAACCCUGAGUUCCUGAAGCUGCGUUUCUGUGAAUCCUCCAUCUUUUUCUGUCCCGGAUCUCGCCAUCAACUGAAUCACCCAGUUUGCAGCUUCGCUGUAGUCUUGUUGUGUAGCCCUGAAGUAUUGCAUCCUCAUGUUUUGCAUGACGGACAAAGCAAGCAACCCUUGUCUAUCGAAAUACGGGUGAGCGAGAGCUGCUUUUGCGCUGAUUCUUUGUCUUGCUUUGAACCGGACCAUUGAUGUCAGAAGCUCCCAUCCUAUCCCGCCGUCAAGAUCUAGUAGCUCAAACCCUUUACGGAGAUCAGGGCCUGCACGAGGCUCCACUAGUUUUCUCCACGCGGUUAAGUCGUAGUCGCAUCUUUUCAGCUGGCGGUUGAACUGAAUGAGGUUGCUGUCAGAUCGUAAGGACGGGAAUGCCUAGGGAAUGGUAUAAGCAUUGUCAGAACAUUAACAUAGCAUGAUUGAUUCGUUUCCCAACAAAGGAAGCUGGUAAUAACAAAACUAGGUUCUGCUCUGAUGAUCAAGGAAGGGAUGAUAAAACAAAAGAACAGUCCAAACAACAGAACCAAAAGCAAUCCAGGUCAAUGAACUAUAGAGUAUUACUUUAAAGGCCCAACCAACAACACACUAAACAUCCUUAAAAACUCAGAGAAAACUAGAAGCGAUUGGUG
This 6519-nucleotide long non-coding RNA is filed under the name Brassica napus (rape). Its description in RNAcentral is "long non-coding RNA (BNAP_LNC006339)". The record is from RNAcentral. Lineage: Eukaryota; Viridiplantae; Streptophyta; Magnoliopsida; Brassicales; Brassicaceae.